UUCUCAAUCCCCAAAUUCUCAAAUUCUAUCUCUCUCACAUCACACUCCUUUGAAACACAACUUUCCUUUUUAACUCUAAAUUCAGAGAUAGUUUCUUGAUUAGGUUCUUUGUUAUCACUAUCUUUCAUUAUCACCAACUCUGAAUUCAAUUUCAUAAUCGAUUCAUUCUACCCAAUUUGUUUUCUCUUUGCGACAUUCUUUCCUUCUCCGUCAUUCAUCAUAACGCAACACGACGCAACACGUUCGUGUAACUCACUCCACUCGCUCCGUAACUCGUUCUCGAUUUUUUCAUCAUGCCGAAGGAUAAACUUGAUAACAGGGAACCACAAUGGGCUAGUGUGAACUUAGGAAUUUUCAUUUGCAUGCAAUGUUCAGGGAUUCCCCGGAGUCUUGGAGUGCAUAUAUCAAAGGUGAGGUCCACAACUUUGGAUACAUGGUUUCCAGAACAAGUUUCUUUCAUGCAAUGUAAGAAACUAUAUAUGGAAUCUAUUUCUUAAUUACUUUCUUUGUGAAAUGUACUAUUGAGCAAAUUAUGAGAUACAAUGAGCAACUCUUGCUUUCUCUCUUAUAGGACAUUACGUAAUAUUGAUUUGAUUAGCUCUUUCUUUACUCAUGGGAGAUAUCCCUGUUGCCAAACAUCGGCUAUAGCAAUACAGUGUAGCAGAAUGUUAACAAACUACUAUUGCUCCACGAUACACGAUUCAGCACAAAGUGUUUUCAAGUAAUGGCUAUAGCUGCAUUAUAAGCCUAUAACACUAGCAUAGCGAAAUUUUAACGAACCGCUGUUUUUUGCAAUUGACUGUGCUAGAAGAUAUGAUAAUUGUUACAAAUGUUGUUUGGCUCUUGCAAGUGUAACUUAUAUGGUGUGGUUUAUGCAAAUACGGAUAAUGUGAAGUCAAAUAAGCCCUGGGAAGCUAAACUGCCACCAAAUUUUGACAGAAAUGGAUGUGGAAUCCAGAAGUUUAUCCGUGCCAAAUAUGUGGAGAAACGAUGGGCUUUACAAGGUGAACUACAAGCUACAAAGUCAGCUGAAAUAAAGUUGAACUUGAACUUCAAAAUUUCACCACCUACUGGGGCCAAGAAUGGUAUUCAAAAAUCUAGGAGAUUGUCUCUUGAGGAAAGCAUUCUUGUGAAUCACAUGCCACAAAUUCGGCCUCCAAUACCAAAAUUUAAUGAGGGUCCCUUAGAUUUAAAAAUGAAGAAUUCACCACCAAUAAAGAGGCCAUCAGCAUCACUUGAUUUUGAUAAACCCAUUGGAAAUAGCAACGGUACCGUCGAUCUUUUUAACUUGCUUUCCUUCGACGAAGAUAAAAAGAAUAUAUCAACUACACCUUCUAGCUGGACAAUAUUUGAUUGAGAAGGUGUGCAAAUUGUUUAUAGAUUUGCUGAGCUAGCUUUUUGGAUAGAUGUCACAAGAUUAUGGUUAAAUCCGUUCGUGCAAUGUUGCACGAACAUCAAGCUGUGUUGGUCUGGUAAAUUUGGAUGAUGGUUGUGUGCCAUGGUGCCUUUGAUGCAAAAUUGAGUGCAGGUCACUCGAUGUCCCUAAAUUGAGUUUAUGUCCGUCGAUGUCCUGAAAACUGAUGGUCUGAAUGUAAUUUCAAUGUAAAUGCUUCAUAACUUCAAAUGCAGAACCUGAACUGCUUCGGGUCUGAUGCGGCUGAUGAUUUGCAGAAUGCUACAAUGGCUGAGCCUGGUACUGCGCAGUCUUAUUUGUCUUCUGUUAAUUUUAAAAUCGACUCCUGGGUGAUUCAAAUGUAAUAUUGAUGCAUCAUUUGUGUCACAUUUAAAUAAAGUUGGGUUUGGAAUAUGUAUCUGUGACAAACGUGGUCAAUUUGUGAUUUCAAAGAGAGAAUGGAUUGCCCUUCUUUGUGGAGUGGAUGUGGGCGUACCUCUUGGUGAGUAUAUGUUCCCUAAUUAAUGGUAUGUCCCUCGAUGUCUCUAAACUGGGUUUAUACCCUCGAUGUUCCUAUAUUGAAUUAAUGUACUGGAUGACCCUAAAUUGAACUUAUGUCCCUCGAUGUCCCUAAAUUGAACUUAU
This is an RNA transcript of Trifolium pratense (red clover), 2038 nucleotides long. It is a transcript of the gene named probable ADP-ribosylation factor GTPase-activating protein AGD15, with no coding region annotated. The transcript is spliced from 8 exons. NCBI's taxonomy places the organism in Eukaryota, Viridiplantae, Streptophyta, Magnoliopsida, Fabales, Fabaceae. The record is from RefSeq and is a predicted model, not a curated record.